AAAGCUCAAAUUUAAAAUCUGGUAGUCUUUGAUUGCCCGAGUUGUAAUCUAGAGAAGCGUUAUCCGCGCAGGACCGUGUAUAAGUCUCCUGGAAUGGAGCGUCAUAGAGGGUGAGAAUCCCGUCUUCGACACGGACUACCAGGGCUCUGUGAUGCGCUCUCAAAGAGUCGAGUUGUUUGGGAAUGCAGCUCUAAAUGGGUGGUAAAUUCCAUCUAAAGCUAAAUAUUGGCGAGAGACCGAUAGCGAA
Molecule: ribosomal RNA, 247 nt
Filed under: Entoloma sp. 8 CRJH-2017
Lineage: Eukaryota; Fungi; Basidiomycota; Agaricomycetes; Agaricales; Entolomataceae
Description: partial 28S ribosomal RNA
Rfam family: Eukaryotic large subunit ribosomal RNA
Source: RNAcentral